AUUGAACGCUGGCGGCAUGCCUUACACAUGCAAGUCGAACGGUAACAGGUCUUCGGCUGCUGCCGAGUGGCGCACGGGUGAGUAAUACAUCGGAACGUGCCCGAUCGUGGGGGAUAACGAAGCGAAAGCUUUGCUAAUACCGCAUACGAUCUACGGAUGAAAGCAGGGGACCGCAAGGCCUUGCGCGAACGGAGCGGCCGAUGGCAGAUUAGGUAGUUGGUGGGAUAAAAGCUUACCAAGCCGACGAUCUGUAGCUGGUCUGAGAGGACGACCAGCCACACUGGGACUGAGACACGGCCCAGACUCCUACGGGAGGCAGCAGUGGGGAAUUUUGGACAAUGGGCGAAAGCCUGAUCCAGCCAUGCCGCGUGCAGGAUGAAGGCCUUCGGGUUGUAAACUGCUUUUGUACGGAACGAAAAGACUCUGGUUAAUACCUGGGGGCCAUGACGGUACCGUAAGAAUAAGCACCGGCUAACUACGUG
This 482-nucleotide ribosomal RNA is filed under the name uncultured bacterium. RNAcentral's name for it is "partial 16S ribosomal RNA". It matches the Rfam family "Bacterial small subunit ribosomal RNA", at positions 30 to 507 of the family's 1533-position model. The record is from RNAcentral.